UGGCGACGGGUGAGUAACACGUGGGCAAUCUGCCCUGCACUCUGGGACAAGCCCUGGAAACGGGGUCUAAUACCGGAUAUGACGUGCGACCGCAUGGUCUGUACGUGGAAAGCUCCGGCGGUGCAGGAUGAGCCCGCGGCCUAUCAGCUUGUUGGUGGGGUGAUGGCCUACCAAGGCGACGACGGGUAGCCGGCCUGAGAGGGCGACCGGCCACACUGGGACUGAGACACGGCCCAGACUCCUACGGGAGGCAGCAGUGGGGAAUAUUGCACAAUGGGCGAAAGCCUGAUGCAGCGACGCCGCGUGAGGGAUGACGGCCUUCGGGUUGUAAACCUCUUUCAGCAGGGAAGAAGCGCAAGUGACGGUACCUGCAGAAGAAGCACCGGCUAACUACGUGCCAGCAGCCGCGGUAAUACGUAGGGUGCGAGCGUUGUCCGGAAUUAUUGGGCGUAAAGAGCUCGUAGGCGGCUUGUCACGUCGGAUGUGAAAGCCCGGGGCUUAACCCCGGGUCUGCAUUCGAUACGGGCAGGCUAGAGUUCGGUAGGGGAGAUCGGAAUUCCUGGUGUAGCGGUGAAAUGCGCAGAUAUCAGGAGGAACACCGGUGGCGAAGGCGGAUCUCUGGGCCGAUACUGACGCUGAGGAGCGAAAGCGUGGGGAGCGAACAGGAUUAGAUACCCUGGUAGUCCACGCCGUAAACGUUGGGAACUAGGUGUGGGCGACAUUCCACGUCGUCCGUGCCGCAGCUAACGCAUUAAGUUCCCCGCCUGGGGAGUACGGCCGCAAGGCUAAACUCAAAAGGAAUUGACGGGGGCCCGCACAAGCAGCGGAGCAUGUGGCUUAA
RNAcentral lists this ribosomal RNA (841 nucleotides) under Streptomyces sp. RNAcentral's name for it is "bacterial SSU rRNA". It matches the Rfam family "Bacterial small subunit ribosomal RNA", at positions 96 to 949 of the family's 1533-position model. The record is from RNAcentral. Lineage: Bacteria; Bacillati; Actinomycetota; Actinomycetes; Kitasatosporales; Streptomycetaceae.